UCAGAUAAUACAUAUGAUGAGGCUGUCACUUAGUGAAGGAUUCUGGAUAAUUAGUUUGGCGCUGUGGGGCUUGAUGAGCAUUGCGAUGAUCACAGUGCCAUGUACUUUGACAAAUGUCUGGUGCAACCCCUAAUACCAAUCUACUUAAUUGUGGCUGGAGUUAUCCACUUAUUAGCCAUCCUAUUGCUGCCAUUAAAGUAUCUUUCCCCCCAGUUAUCUGGAGUAUUAGAGGGGGUUCUCUUAGCUUGUAUGGUUUGUUGGAUAAUUGCUGGUAAUGUGUGGAUUUUUCCCACAUACACAAUGCAUACAGCCCUAUGUAACAGUGUCCUAUAUCGAUUCUCCUUUGGUGUCCUCAUAUUGCAGUAUAUAUACCUUAUUUUAGUCUCUGUCACAAUGCGGGCUCAAGAUCCUCAGUAAAGCCUCCCUCAUCUGAGAACAUCAAGAGAGGUCCAACCAGAAUGUUUCUUAUAACAGAAGAUUCCAUCAAAUUACAGAAAGAAUGUUGGACUGAAGAUGUUAGAUGUUUUUACUAAUACAUGUAUAUGUAUGUUGCAUUGUUACUCUAGUCAUCAUUAUACAAACAUAAAGCCACAGUGCCACAGAGACCCUUCACAACGUCACAAUUUUUCUGUAUAAAGAGAAACCAAAUUAUUAAUAUAAGAAAACUAGUGGUUUAAACAUCUAGGAUAAGGGCUGGCAUGGGUGCUCAUCACUGGUUUUAAUUGAUCUAUGGCAAUGUAGGGGUGUGUCUUGGUUUGGGGGUUUAUUUAAAGACUUGGACUGUGGCCAAAAAAUGACUCUCCUGGAUUCUGUCCCAGAUGUGUUGUUGCGCUUGCACCCAAGAAUAAUAGGAAUGAUGGAGAGGGUGGAUCUGAGAAGAUCUGCACAUACUGUACAUACAAAAAGAAUAGGAAUAAAGGGUGGUAUCUGAUGAGUUCCCUCUACUCUCUCUGAUAGCUCUUUCUAUAGCAAACAGUUGUCAGGUUAGCUUUUCAGAGCAUUUUAAAUGGACAAGACCGCCCUUCCCAUACAGGGGUUCAGUGUGUAUUGUUUACAAUAAAAU
Molecule: RNA transcript, 1063 nt
Organism: Pseudophryne corroboree (corroboree frog)
Lineage: Eukaryota; Metazoa; Chordata; Amphibia; Anura; Myobatrachidae
Gene name: transmembrane protein 272-like
Exons: 5
Source: RefSeq, a predicted model, not a curated record